RNAcentral lists this ribosomal RNA (642 nucleotides) under uncultured bacterium. Its description in RNAcentral is "bacterial SSU rRNA". It matches the Rfam family "Bacterial small subunit ribosomal RNA", at positions 28 to 666 of the family's 1533-position model. The record is from RNAcentral.
AUUGAACGCUGGCGGCAUGCCUAACACAUGCAAGUCGAACGGCAGCACGGGGCAACCCUGGUGGCGAGUGGCGGACGGGUGAGGAAUACAUAGGAAUCUGCCCUGUUGUGGGGGAUAACGUAGGGAAACUUACGCUAAUACCGCAUACGACGGCGACGUGAAGGUGGGGGACCGCAAGGCCUCACGCGAUAGGAUGAGCCUAUGUCCGAUUAGCUAGUUGGCGGGGUAAGAGCCCACCAAGGCGACGAUCGGUAGCUGGUCUGAGAGGAUGAUCAGCCACACUGGAACUGAGACACGGUCCAGACUCCUACGGGAGGCAGCAGUGGGGAAUAUUGGACAAUGGGCGCAAGCCUGAUCCAGCAAUGCCGCGUGGGUGAAGAAGGCCUCGGGUUGUAAAGCCCUUUUGUACGGGACGAAAAGUCUUGGGUUAAUACCCCUGAGGUGAUGACGGUACCGUAAGAAUAAGCACCGGCUAACUUCGUGCCAGCAGCCGCGGUAAUACGAAGGGUGCAAGCGUUAAUCGGAAUUACUGGGCGUAAAGCGUGCGUAGGUGGUUUGUUAAGUCUGAUGUGAAAGCCCUGGGCUCAACCUGGGAACGGCAUUGGAUACUGGCUUACUAGAGUGCGGUAGAGGGUAGCGGAA